This is a non-coding RNA of Leptonychotes weddellii (Weddell seal), 1840 nucleotides long. Lineage: Eukaryota; Metazoa; Chordata; Mammalia; Carnivora; Phocidae. The record is from RefSeq and is a predicted model, not a curated record.
CUGCCGGCAACUGCGAGCGCGGCUUGGAGACCCAUGACGGUGCGGCGUUGGGGCGCAAGGACUGGGUCCCCCUCCCGGAUUCCCGACUGAGAAGGGACCUAGGGUGGCCGCUCACCUUGGCGAAUAAUAAUCCCUGAAGUCUAGCAAUUACAGAAAUGCUUCCAGAGGUCUUCUCUCAUUCAUCCCGACAAUGACCAGGGAAGGUCACCAGCACCUCUGGUGGGUGAGAGAGAUGUGGUUCCUGAUUUCAUGUCCCAGCCAGGGACCCAUAAGGACCACCGGAGAUGGGCACUGUUCGUCUGAGCUGACUUGUCCAAUGAUCCAGUUCAAUGCAGUGCUCUGCUGUGGCUCCUUCUGACUCACCCAGUGGGACCGACCUCCUUUAGCUCUGGGGUCCCCACUGUUCUAGCAUGUGCCUCACCAGCUUCCAGGCCCUGUGUGGAAUGCAGCCUCCGAGAACAGCACUUCUCACCACUCAAAACCCAUCCAAGCAUGCCCAGCCCCGAGAGGGGCUUCUAGGAAUGCAAACGAUGGGCUGCCGGGGGAGCAGUAAGCCGACUUAACAGCAUAGUGAGCACACGGGCAGGGGCUUGAAGGCUUGGAGGGUUGUUUUUAAGGAAGAGAAAUAGGUCCAAUCCUACGGGAGGCUGAUUAUUCACUUCCCUCCAACCAGAGCGAAUAGUUUAAAGGGUUUCAAAUGACGCUGAUGUGGCUGAAGCUGCCAGAAGCCCAUCCGAUCAUCCGUGGCAUCAUCACACACCUGUCUACACAGCAGAUCUUCACCCUUACUGAUCGGCAUUAAGAAGCAAGGUCUCUGCUUGCCAGCACGGGUGAAGGCAGUGAGGUCCUGCACUUUACGUAGGAAAAUGAUGAUUCUCUUCAAAAACAUUCCCAUUCCGACUGUCUUCUUGCCACCAGCAGCUCCCCACCCCCACAAGGCAGGCUGAAAUCAAUUCAACAGCUAUUCAUUCACUCACUUAACCAAUUUAGUAUUUGAUUUAAAAAAAAUUGUGCCAGCCAUUGUGUCAGUGCUGGGGUGGCAAAGAUGAUUAAUAGGGUCCCUACCCAUAGGAUCUCAGAGUCAUGCUAACAAAUAAUUAGGAUUCCGUGUGAUUAGGGCAAUGAUAGAAGGAAAUUCAAAAGGGAGGUCCCCAAGGAGGGCAGGGAUGGCUGCUUAUCUACCUCCCCAAGCUCCCCACCCCUCCUCCCCAACUUGCCAGCCAAGCCCAACAUCCAGUUCCUGAAAUCAUUCCUCUGAGUCCCUGCCCUGCUGUUCUCUCUGCUACUGAUGUCCUUUCCCACCCUCAGCUGACUCUAGCCCCCUACUUCUCCCCCAAGAUUCAGCUCCAAAGGAUAAGCCCCAAAUUCAGGUGGGUGCUUCAUCUGGAAGAAUUCCAUCAGGGAGGAAAACCCUGGGGAUCAUUUUUAAUGUUGCAUUUCCUGAGCAGGGGUGGGGGGGGUGGGUUCCUUCUCUCAUUCUAUAUGCCUUUCUGUGUCUGAAUUAUUUCGGCAUAGUGUAUUUGCAAAAGAGAUCCAGUUCAAGCCACACCUCCACCUUUAAUCCCCACCUCCUGCUACGUUUCCUUGUCAAGAAUCAAGCUCAAAAAUUCCUUACUGUCAUUCAAAAGCAACUCUGUGUUUCUAAAGAUGCAUGGAAAUGACUGUCACCAAUCUAGGAUCCUGGGUGCACCCCCCCUAGGGGGCAGAAUGCAAUUGGGGAAUGGUAAGACGCUAGGGCUUCAACAGUAAUAGCAAUGUUGCUAUUUCUUAAACUGGGUGGUGGAUACAUGGGUGUUUGUUUUAUGUCUAAAAUAUUGUAUGUAGGGGCUCCUGGGUGGCU